GGGAUAUAACUCAGCGGUAGAGUGUCACCUUGACGUGGUGGAAGUCGUCAGUUCGAGUCUGAUUAUCCCUA
RNAcentral lists this transfer RNA (71 nucleotides) under Weigela florida. Its description in RNAcentral is "tRNA-Val". It matches the Rfam family "tRNA". Rfam says of the family: Transfer RNA (tRNA) molecules are approximately 80 nucleotides in length. Their secondary structure includes four short double-helical elements and three loops (D, anti-codon, and T loops). The record is from RNAcentral. Lineage: Eukaryota; Viridiplantae; Streptophyta; Magnoliopsida; Dipsacales; Caprifoliaceae.